RNAcentral lists this ribosomal RNA (447 nucleotides) under uncultured bacterium. Its description in RNAcentral is "partial 16S ribosomal RNA". It matches the Rfam family "Bacterial small subunit ribosomal RNA", at positions 29 to 523 of the family's 1533-position model. The record is from RNAcentral.
AACGAACGCUGGCGGCAGGCUUAACACAUGCAAGUCGAACGCACCGCAAGGUGAGUGGCGCACGGGUGAGUAACGCGUGGGAAUGUACCGUUUAGUACGGAAUAGCUCCGGGAAACUGGAAUUAAUACCGUAUACGCCCUUCGGGGGAAAGAUUUAUCGCUAAACGAUCAGCCCGCGUGAGAUUAGGUAGUUGGUGGGGUAAUGGCCUACCAAGCCUACGAUCUCUAGCUGGUCUGAGGGGAUGAUCAGCCACACUGGAGCUGAGACACGGUCCAGACUCCUACGGGAGGCAGCAGUGGGGAAUAUUGGACAAUGGGGUAAACCCUGAUCCAGCCAUGCCGCGUGAAUGAUGAAGGCCUUAGGGUUGUAAAGUUCUUUUACCGAUGAAGAUAAUGACGGUAGUCGGAGAAAAAGCCCCGGCUAACUUCGUGCCAGCCGCCGCAGUAA